RNAcentral lists this small RNA (280 nucleotides) under Arabidopsis thaliana (thale cress). Its description in RNAcentral is "ATSL167090". Lineage: Eukaryota; Viridiplantae; Streptophyta; Magnoliopsida; Brassicales; Brassicaceae. The record is from RNAcentral.
CUAGACAUAUGGAUUUGGUUAGAAUGAUCAUGGCAAUAGACUAGAGAAUGUUGGGAGUUCCUUUGUUUUCAAACCUCUUCCACGGGUUCGGCUUUUGUGUUUUGCUUGAGGGCAAGCAAAAGCUAAGUCUAGGGGAGUUGAUAUAACCCUAUUUUUAUCGGCUUUAGCUAUGAUUUAGGUAUAGGUCUUAGAGUCCUUUUGUUAUUUCUAGAGUCUUUUCUAGUCUUUUUCAGGUCUUUACAUGUUUGGGAUUCAUUUGGAGAUAAUGAAGCAUUCUAGA